AUCAACUUUCGAUGGUAGGAUAGAGGCCUACCAUGGUGGUAACGGGUAACGGGGUGUUAGGGCACGACACCGGAGAGGGAGCCUGAGAAACGGCUACCACAUCCAAGGAUGGCAGCAGGCGCGCAAAUUACCCAAUCCCGACACGGGGAGGUAGUGACAAUAAAUAACAAUACGGGAUUCUAAAGGAUUUCGUAAUUGGAAUGAGUACAAUUUAAAUCUCUUAACGAUCAACAAUUGGAGGGCAAGUCUGGUGCCAGCAGCCGCGGUAAUUCCAGCUCCAAUAGCGUAUAUUAAAGUUGUUGCAGUUAAAAAGCUCGUAGUUGAAUUUCGGGGUUAGUAGGUUGGUCAUGCCUCUGGUAUGUACUGAUCUCACUGAUUCCUCCCUCUUGACGAACUGUAAUGUCAUUAAUUUGGUGUUCCAGGAAAUCAGGACUGUUACUUUGAAAAAAUUAGAGUGUUUAAAGCAGGCUAAGGCUUGAAUACAUUAGCAUGGAAUAAUGAAAUAGGACGUUUGAACCUAUUUUGUUGGUUUCUAGGAUCGACGUAAUGAUUAAUAGGGAUAGUUGGGGGCAUUAGUAUUCAAUUGUCAGAGGUGAAAUUCUUGGAUUUAUUGAAGACUAACUACUGCGAAAGCAUUUGCCAAGGAUGUUUUCAUUAAUCAAGAACGAAAGUUAGGGGAUCGAAGACGAUCAGAUACCGUCGUAGUCUUAACCAUAAACUAUGCCGACUAGGGAUCGGAUGAUGUUAAUUUUUUAAUGACUCAUUCGGCGCCUUACGGGAAACCAAAGUGUUUGGGUUC
Molecule: ribosomal RNA, 799 nt
Filed under: uncultured Glomeromycotina
Lineage: Eukaryota; Fungi; Glomeromycota
Description: SSU rRNA
Rfam family: Eukaryotic small subunit ribosomal RNA
Source: RNAcentral